Molecule: ribosomal RNA, 480 nt
Filed under: Hydrozoanthidae sp. 'Mada1'
Lineage: Eukaryota; Metazoa; Cnidaria; Anthozoa; Zoantharia; Hydrozoanthidae
Description: partial 16S ribosomal RNA
Rfam family: Bacterial large subunit ribosomal RNA
Source: RNAcentral
GAAGGCCCCACUGUCUUAAGGAAAUUCCCAGUGAAAUUGAAUUCGUAGUGAAGAUGCUACGUCCAAUUUGUUAGACGAAAAGACCCCGUUGAGCUUUACUGGGGCACUUACACGGCCCCGGCCUUCCAAACUAGGCUUACCAUGCCUAGGGGUCGGCCGAAUUUAAAUGGGCGGCUUAGAUUAUGUGGCAGCCCCCCGUCGGGGCAGAUGAAACCCCACUCCCCCAUGUCAAAGGGGCUAACCCCCCCCCUUGGGGGGGGACAGUGUAAGUAGGACAGUUUGGUUGGGGCGACCGCCUUUUAAAGAGUAACGAAGGUGCGCUUAAGGUGCGCAAAUAAUGACUGAAGCCUGACUGCGAGGGGGACACCCCGAGCAGACACCCCCAAGCCUGCCCGAAGGGCGGCGGUGGGGUGGGCCAUAGUGACCCGUUAAUUUAGAGUGGAAUAGUUAACGAUCAACGAAUAAAAGUUACCACGGGGA